Molecule: long non-coding RNA, 2881 nt
Filed under: Monomorium pharaonis (pharaoh ant)
Lineage: Eukaryota; Metazoa; Arthropoda; Insecta; Hymenoptera; Formicidae
Description: uncharacterized LOC114254054
Source: RNAcentral
AAAACAAAAAUUGCAAGGUUGCAGUUUGAAAGGUACAGGGCAAUAUGAUAUGGACAACGGCCUGGAAAAAUUCGGAAAUGGGCUAAGUUGGUUCUAUAAGUGUCUCUUAGAGUGACCCUGGUGCGCUCUAACACCUCAAUCCUUUUUCAAUCCGUAACCUCUUCGGUUUGACAGUGGAGCCAGUGUUUUGCGUUGUGUCCGUCCAUCCGAGAACAACUUUGUAGCACCGCUCGGCUUUAAAAUCAUUAAAUGUCGACGGUCCCACCCUUCUAUGACACCUACUACCCCGCAAGAGUGAAUUGGGCAACCACCCCUAACACUACUCAGUCCCCGCAGAUGCCUCCAUGCGUCCGAAAAAUUCGGAAAUGACCCGAAUCGCAUCCAUAGAGUUCUCUGGCACUCCUCCCUGACCACGCACAAAAUCCAUCCCUUUUAAUUUGUACCUGCUAUUCCUUUAGUCGGACAGCGAGUCGCGAUUGUGCCAGACUACAGGUGAUCGCUUCAGGGCAAAACAUGCAUUUGAGAUUAAAAAAAUCCUUGUUGUCUCUCCAGCCAUAUUGUUUUUAUUUUCUCUUUGUGUCAGGUUUCCUUUCCUCCCUAGAUUUUCCUUAUGUGUAUCUUUCAUGCUUCUUUCAGCUGAUUUUUCAUCUGCGUUCUUUUUGUUCCUGAUUAUCCUGAUGCUUCCUUUUCCUCUGAAAACCGCAUUACUUUUUCGUGUACUCGCACAUCUCCAUAUUUUUCGUUUUUUUUUUAUGUUGCUUGUAGGGCAGCAAACAUUGUUAAAGCAAAACAAAAAAAAUUUUAACACAAAUUUAUUGUUCUAAGGCAAUGCGUCUGUACAAAAAACAAAGCAAAAAUGUGAAACAAAACAGGACUCAUAAAACAAGGAAAUAAGAAAUCUGAAAAAAAUAGAAACAAAAACAAAACAAAUAAUAAAAAAGCUAAAAACAAAUGAAAUUUUGACACUCUCGAAACCGCUUUUCUUCUUUUUGCUGGCGACAUUCUAAAUCAAACUAACCCAACUGUAAACCAAAUCAAUCAAAAUAUUGCCGACAUUUCAAAUCAUUACAAAAACAAAAAAUAAGGCCAAAAUGGCCUUUAACAGGAAAAAAUUCAAAAAAAGAAAGUUGUUGACAAAUCGCUUAGUCAAGUAAAGCGUUCGAAGCAAACUGAAUUGUUUUCUUGAAAUGUCAGCAACAUUUUAAUUGACUUUGUUUACAUAGGUUUAAUUUAGAAUGCCGCUGGCAAGAAAGAGAGCGAUAUUUCGGUAGAGCGUCAAAAUUUUAUAGAAUUUCACAAUGUAUUUCUUCGAAGGUUCUCAAUAUUACAUAAUAAACAAUAAAACAAACGCUUAUAGAGCCGACGCUAGAUGUUAGUUGCUAUUUACAAAUUAUUUUGAGAAAGGAUAAAAUUUUUCAAAUACAAACGUUUCGGCCAUUGGUUUUGGCCAUCUUCAGUGUGACAAGAUUUCAACCGUAAAUUACAAUUACUCCAUAUAUGAAAUUAGUGUUGUCAAUUCUCUUCUUAUUGGUGUUAUGUUCCUAUUAUCUAUUACAUCACGUUAACUAUUGUUGCAGAAAUUAGAAGCCGUAUGUGAAUAAAGAAACCACUCGUUCCUUUUCGCCAACUGACAUCGUCAUAAUCAGCACGUUCAUCUCACCUUUCACCUCAGUCCUCAUCCAACUAAUUUUUCAAUAGAAACCUCUCUAGAAAAAAGUAAGAUAAUGAUAACCGAGCAGAAGUAAAAAAAAGAACAAUGUGAUCCCUGACUAGGAGGGAUAAGUCCUAUACUAAUUUUUCACUUGUUCUAAAUUACAUCUCACAAUGACUUUAUCAUGUUGUAGUUUGGAAGAAGACAUUUCAUUUGUUUUCAGUUUUCUCGUUACUAUUUGUUUUGUUUUUGUUUCCUUUUUUCCAGUUUUUUAAUUUUCUUAUUUGUAAGUUUUCAUGUUUUGUUUCUUAUUUUCUUUGUUUUUUGUACAAACGCAUUGCCUUAGAGCAACAAAUUUGUGUUCACAAUUUUUUUUGUUUUGCUUUAACAAUGUUUUGCUGUCUCACAAACAAGAUAAAAAUAAAAAAUAUAAAAAUGUAAGAGAGUACAUAAAAAAGUAAUGCGUUUUUCAGGAAAAAAUAAAAGGAAUUAAGAACAAAAAGGACACAGACAAAGAGUCAGCUGGAAGAGGCAUGAAAGCAAAGAAAGAUGCACAUAGGGCAAAUCUAGGGAGGAAAGGAAACCUAACACAAAAAGGAAAUAAAAAGGAAGACUAAAAGAAUAGCAGAUAAAGAUUAAAAGGGGUGGGUUUCGUGCGUGGUCAAGAAGGCGUGCCAAAGAUCUUUACGGGUGCGGUUCGGCUCAUUUCCGAAUUUUCCGGACGCAUGAAGGCACCUACGGAGGCUUAUUAGUGUUAGGAGUGAUUGCCCAACCCACCCUCGCGGGGUGGUAGGAGUCAUAGAAGGGUGGGGCCUUCGACAUUUAACGAUUUUAAAGCCGAGUGGUGCUACAAAGUUGUCCUCGGAUGGACGGACUCAACGCAAAACGCUGUCUUCACUGUCAGACCAAAGGGGUGGCAAAUCAGGGCUGAAAAGAAAUGGGGGUGUCAGGGAUUUGCCUCAAGGGGGCGUAACUCCGAAACUACUGGACCCACAGUGAGGAGAUUUUGCAGAGGUCAAGUCGACACUUCGGGCUACAUCAUAUAAAAAUUUCAGAUUUUUGACUCAACUUUUACAAACUUGGAGCUAUUUCAAACUUUUGUUCCUUUAAUUUCGUCAACUAGUUUAUAAUAAUUAUGCUAUGAGAGUGUAAUCAAUAACAAACAAUAACUUUUUAUUUGGAGAGAAUACUGUAUGUAUGUAAUUCGCUAAUUAAAUAUAAAUAUAAAUA